Molecule: ribosomal RNA, 492 nt
Filed under: uncultured bacterium
Lineage: Bacteria
Description: partial 16S ribosomal RNA
Rfam family: Bacterial small subunit ribosomal RNA
Source: RNAcentral
AGUGAACGCUGGCGGUAGGCCUAACACAUGCAAGUCGAACGGCAGCACAGUAAGAGCUUGCUCUUACGGGUGGCGAGUGGCGGACGGGUGAGGAAUACAUCGGAAUCUACUUUUUCGUGGGGGAUAACGUAGGGAAACUUACGCUAAUACCGCAUACGACCUACGGGUGAAAGCAGGGGAUCUUCGUACCUUGCGCGUUUGAAUGAGCCGUUGUCGGAUUAGCUAGUUGGCGGGGUAAAGGCCCACCAAGGCGACGAUCCGUAGCUGGUCUGAGAGGAUGAUCAGCCAGACUGGAACGGAGACACGGUCGAGACUCCUACGGGAGGCAGAAGUGGGGAAUAUUGGACAAUGGGCGCAAGCCUGAUCCAGCCAUACCGCGUGGGUGAAGAAGGCGUUCGGGUUGUAAAGCCCUUUUGUUGGGAAAGAAAAGCAGCAGGUUAAUACCCCGCUGUUCUGACGGUACCCAAAGAAUAAGCACCGGCUAACUUCGUG